UGGGGAAUCUUCCGCAAUGGACGAAAGUCUGACGGAGCAACGCCGCGUGAGUGAUGACGGCCUUCAGGUUGUAAAGCUCUGUUAAUCGGGACGAAAGGCCUUCUUGCGAAUAGUUAGAAGGAUUGACGGUACCGGAAUAGAAAGCCACGGCUAACUACGUGCCAGCAGCCGCGGUAAUACGUAGGUGGCAAGCGUUGUCCGGAAUUAUUGGGCGUAAAGCGCGCGCAGGCGGAUCAGUCAGUCUGUCUUAAAAGUUCGGGGCUUAACCCCGUGAGGGGAUGGAAACUGCUGAUCUAGAGUAUCGGAGAGGAAAGUGGAAUUCCUAGUGUAGCGGUGAAAUGCGUAGAUAUUAGGAAGAACACCAGUGGCGAAGGCGACUUUCUGGACGAAAACUGACGCUGAGGCGCGAAAGCCAGGGGAGCGAACGGGAUUAGAUACCCCGGUAGUCCUGGCCGUAAACGAUGGGUACUAGGUGUAGGAGGUAUCGACCCCUUCUGUGCCGGAGUUAACGCAAUAAGUACCCCGCCUGGGGAGUACGACCGCAAGGUUG
RNAcentral lists this ribosomal RNA (550 nucleotides) under uncultured bacterium. RNAcentral's name for it is "bacterial SSU rRNA". It matches the Rfam family "Bacterial small subunit ribosomal RNA", at positions 355 to 896 of the family's 1533-position model. The record is from RNAcentral.